GUCUUUCAAGUUCUGUAAUUACAGGCAGGAUUUUCAUUCUUUGAAAGAAAAGAGAAAGCUCAAGGCCAUCCUCCACUUUAGAGAGAGAGUGUGUCACAAAAACAACACUAAAGAAGAAAAGAAAAGAAUAGGGGAGAAGGAGGAGAAAUGGGAAGGUUAAUCUUCAUUGAACUCUGAGAGAACAGGCCAAAGGAAGAGACUGGCUUCAAGUUGAGGGUUUUAACGGUGUCAAGGUGCUUGUAAAAUGCCCAUGGCAAAUCUUCACUACAUAGGGUCUCCAUUAUCUUGCAGCUCUGUCAACUAACCAAAGAGAAUAAUUGCUCUAUUUAGUCAGCACUGGGGUGUAAUUUGCAUACAAUGUAGAUAUACCCUUUUAAAGACUGUUGUGCCUUAUUUAAAUAGUUAUCAAAUGCAUUACAUGAAAUAGCUUUUCCCAAAUUGUCGAGGAACAUUUGGCCUGGACACAGCGUGCUGGAAGUACCAGGAGAAGUUUCCCAGAAUGGUACUCAAAUCAGUCACUGACCAUAAGCUGGUACCAAAACAGCCAUGACCACCCUGUUGGAUAUUUUAAGCACAAAUGUUCUUUCUUCAGAGGCUUCCCGAACCACUUGUGGACUAAAUGGCAGUGGGACCAGGCAGGACAGAAACUUCUGGUCUGCAACGGUGUGGAAACCUAGUGCAGUGGAAACUUCCUGGAAUCUAUGUGGAUGAUCCUAGUAUUGGGG
Molecule: long non-coding RNA, 725 nt
Filed under: Cricetulus griseus (Chinese hamster)
Lineage: Eukaryota; Metazoa; Chordata; Mammalia; Rodentia; Cricetidae
Description: lncRNA (ENSCGRG00015038297.1)
Source: RNAcentral